AGGAAUUUAGGAUAACCCAUAGACCGAGGGCCUUCAAAGCCCUAAGUAGAAGUGAAAAUCUUCUAAUUCCUG
RNAcentral lists this transfer RNA (72 nucleotides) under Hoplias malabaricus (trahira). RNAcentral's name for it is "tRNA-Trp". It matches the Rfam family "tRNA". Rfam says of the family: Transfer RNA (tRNA) molecules are approximately 80 nucleotides in length. Their secondary structure includes four short double-helical elements and three loops (D, anti-codon, and T loops). Further hydrogen bonds mediate the characteristic L-shaped molecular structure. tRNAs have two regions of fundamental functional importance: the anti-codon, which is responsible for specific mRNA codon recognition, and the 3' end, to which the tRNAs corresponding amino acid is attached (by aminoacyl-tRNA synthetases). tRNAs cope with the degeneracy of the genetic code in two manners: having more than one tRNA (with a specific anti-codon) for a particular amino acid; and 'wobble' base-pairing, i.e. permitting non-standard base-pairing at the 3rd anti-codon position. The record is from RNAcentral. Lineage: Eukaryota; Metazoa; Chordata; Actinopteri; Characiformes; Erythrinidae. RNAcentral also lists the same sequence under 1 other name.